Molecule: ribosomal RNA, 373 nt
Filed under: uncultured organism
Description: bacterial SSU rRNA
Rfam family: Bacterial small subunit ribosomal RNA
Source: RNAcentral
CGUAGGGAGCAAGCGUUGUUCGGAUUUACUGGGCGUAAAGGGCGCGUAGGCGGCAAAUCAAGUCAGCUGUGAAAUCUCCGAGCUUAACUCGGAACGGUCAGCUGAUACUGCUUUGCUAGAGUGCGGAAGGGGCAAUCGGAAUUCUUGGUGUAGCGGUGAAAUGCGUAGAUAUCAAGAGGAACACCUGAGGUGAAGACGGGUUGCUGGGCCGACACUGACGCUGAGGCGCGAAAGCCAGGGGAGCAAACGGGAUUAGAUACCCCGGUAGUCCUGGCCUUAAACGAUGAAUACUUGGUGUCUGGAGUCUCUAUAGCUCCGGGUGCCGUCGCUAACGUUUUUAGUAUUCCGCCUGGGGAGUACGCACGCAAGUGUG